Molecule: ribosomal RNA, 305 nt
Filed under: uncultured bacterium
Lineage: Bacteria
Description: bacterial SSU rRNA
Rfam family: Bacterial small subunit ribosomal RNA
Source: RNAcentral
UGUGCCUACGGGGGGCAGCAGUGAGGAAUAUUGGUCAAUGGCCGAGAGGCUGAACCAGCCAAGUCGCGUGAGGGAAGAAUGUCCUAUGGAUUGUAAACCUCUUUUGUCAGGGAGCAAAGUCACCCACGUGUGGGUGUUGGAGAGUACCUGAAGAAAAAGCAUCGGCUAACUCCGUGCCAGCAGCCGCGGUAAUACGGAGGAUGCGAGCGUUAUCCGGAUUUAUUGGGUUUAAAGGGUGCGCAGGCGGCGAGUUAAGUCAGCGGUAAAAUUUCGGGGCUCAACCCCGACAAGCCGUUGAAACUUGC